CCACCAGCCGCGGGCCGCGCCCCCCUUUCGGCCCCCAACUCUGCGCCGCCGGCAGGAUGCCCCGCUAUGAGCGGGCUAUGAUCCUGAAAGCCAUGCAGAGGAGCCAACACAGUUAUGAGAGAGUGAGCAGAUUCUAUUCUGGUUUGUGCAUCAACAGAGCUGAUGAACGAGCUAGGGGAAAAAACACAACUUGAUUUUCUUAGGACUACGCUGAUAUUUGCAGACCUGAUGGGGUUGGUACAGUAGGCCUCACUAGACUUAGCUGCAGCUAAGAAUUUCUCCUACAUCAACAGAGUUAAUGCUGAUGCUCUUGUGGAAAGGCGAUUAAAAGUGCGUGCUAAGUUCUCAAAUUUCCAUUUAAGAAGCGGAGAAAAUAAAUCUGUCUUCUCAAAGUGUACUACAACCACCACCAUCAAGACAGCAAACCAAGGGACAAAGAAUUUGAUCUGCAGUAUUGAUAAAUGUAAACUGGUUCACAUAUUACUCUAAAGACUUCUUGGGGGGGUGAAAAUUGGACAUCGGCAGUCUCAAGUCAUUUUGUUUAUAAAAAUGAGGGCUUCUUUGGAAACAGCAGACAUUGCCAUUGUGACACUGUACUUUGUACUUGUACUGUGCAUAGGCUUUUUUGCCAUGUGGAAAUACAAUCGAAGCACCGUAAGUGGCUACUUCUUGGCAGGCCGUUCUAUGACAUGGGUAGCUAUUGGUGCAUCCUUAUUUGUGAGCAAUAUUGGGAGCGAACAUUUCAUUGGGCUCGCAGGAUCUGGAGCAGCAAGUGGAUUUGCAGUAGGUGCGUGGGAGUUCAACGCCUUAAUGCUUUUACAGCUUUUAGGAUGGGUCUUCAUCCCAGUCUACAUACGGUCAGCAGUAUAUACUAUGCCUGAAUACUUGUCCAAACGUUUUGGAGGACAUAGAAUUCAAAUAUAUUUUGCGGCGUUGUCUUUGAUUCUUUAUAUCUUCACCAAACUUUCUGUUGACUUGUAUUCAGGCGCACUCUUUAUUCAAGAAUCUCUAGGUUGGAACCUUUAUUUGUCAGUUAUCUUGCUUAUUGGAAUGACUGCUUUGUUGACUGUGACUGGAGGUCUUGUGGCUGUCAUCUACACGGACACUCUUCAAGCUCUGCUUAUGAUUAUUGGUGCCCUCACACUCAUGAUCAUAAGUAUGAUGGAGGUUGGUGGGUUUGAAGAAGUUAAAAGAAGGUAUAUGUUGGCAACACCAAAUAUUACGUCAAUCUUGCUGACCUACAAUCUUUCCAAUACCAACUCUUGUCAUGUCCAGCCAAAGCCUGAUGCUCUUAAAAUGCUGCGUGAGCCAACUGACGAAGAUGUUCCCUGGCCUGGAUUUCUGUUUGGGCAGACCCCAGCUUCUGUGUGGUACUGGUGUGCAGACCAAGUCAUAGUUCAGAGGGUUUUAGCUGCAAAAAAUAUUGCUCAUGCCAAAGGAUCUACGCUAAUGGCAGGUUUUUUAAAGCUGUUGCCUAUGUUUAUUAUCGUUAUCCCAGGGAUGAUUUCACGUAUACUGUUUGCAGAUGACAUUGCCUGUAUCAAUCCCGAACACUGCAUGCAAGUCUGCGGAAGCAGAGCUGGAUGCUCUAACAUUGCCUAUCCACGUCUGGUGAUGAAACUUGUACCAGUUGGUCUGCGGGGACUUAUGAUGGCUGUAAUGAUUGCUGCACUGAUGAGUGACUUGGACUCUAUAUUUAACAGUGCCAGCACUAUAUUUACACUUGAUGUCUACAAACUCAUACGCAAGAGUGCCCCAUCUAGAGAACUAAUGAUUGUAGGAAGAGUGUUUGUUGCUUUCAUGGUAAUUAUAAGCAUUGCUUGGGUUCCAAUAAUCGUGGAAAUGCAAGGAGGCCAGAUGUAUCUCUAUAUACAAGAGGUAGCAGAUUAUUUGACUCCACCAGUGGCUGCUGUGUUUCUGUUGGGUAUAUUUUGGAAGCGUUGCAACGAACAAGGGGCAUUCUAUGGUGCAAUGGUUGGGUUUGUUCUUGGAUCUACAAGGCUGAUAUUGGCAUUUAUUUAUCGUGUCCCUGAGUGUAACCAGCCUGAUACUAGGCCAGGCUUCAUAAAAAAUAUCCACUAUAUGUAUAUUGCUACUGCUCUGUUUUGGAUCACUGGAAUUGUGACUAUUACAGUAAGCCUCUUUACACCACCACCAACAAAGGAACAGAUUCGAACAACCACUUUCUGGUCUCUAAAAAUCAGGUCUGUAAAAGAAAAUGCUUCAAAAGGGGAUCCAUAUAAGGUACAAGAAAAAACCAUCUUGAAAUGUAAUGAAAAUGCCAAUCAUAUCCUGCCAAAUGGCAAAUCUGAAGAAAAUAUUAAAAAUAUUAAGCCUGAGGAUAUAAAUCUUCUAGUUACUUGCAGAGAAGACUGCAACCCAGUGAUUUCUGUAAGUCACUCUGAAGUUGAGACACCAGUUGAUUGUUAUUCCAAUGGACAGGUGGCUCUCAUGGGUGAGAAAAAGCGUGAGGAAGAGACUGAUGAUAGAGAUAAACAUUGGAAAUUCAUAGAUUGGUUCUGUGGCUUUAGAAGUAGAAACAUGAAUGAAAGAGCCAUCCAAGAUACAGAGGAAGAGACUCUCUGUUUACAAAUGUUGGAAGAGACUCCAAAAGUUAAACUAUUACUAAAUAUUGGACUGUUCUGUGUCUGUUCACUUGGAAUAUUCAUGUUUGUCUAUUUCUCUUUGUGAAUGGUGAAGCUUUAAGGGUAUGGCUAAACAUACAAAAGCUGAUACAAGUCUCUCUGGAGAAUUUUUUAAAAAAAUAUACCCAACUUGCAUCUCAGGCAUUGUUUACGCUAUAUUGUAAUCAACUUGUCAGCUAAUUUAAAGACCAUUUGAGAUGUGUAUUAUAUUAUCUCUGUUUUAAAUAAGGAAGAAUGUGGUUUUUAGUGCAGUGCUGUAAGGGGUGGGUGGGUGUGUGUGUGUAUAUAUACACCAAAGAAAAAGGAGGUGGCUGUUUUUAAGGAAGAACAUUAAGGUGCUCAGUCCAAUACUAAAAUGGAAAAAAAAAAAUGAAGUGUAGAAUUGGCAUUAUCAAGGCUGUCAAUCUAAAUUUAAAGAUACCCAUAUACAGUUUAUCCUCUGUAUCAUACUCAUACUAACUUGACCAACAUGUUGCUGCUUAAUUUUGCUUGCAGCUUUUCACUUUUUUAAAACUAUGUAUUAAAAAAAGUGUGGUGCUUAAAUUCCACACUUCAUUUAUACUCAACAAAAAGACAGCAUUUUGAAUGCACUUAACUCCUCAUGUAUUAUUUUGGAACAUGCUGUCACUCUGCAGCCGCCUUCUACUCUUCUCCAUAAGAUUAGAAACCAAACCUACUUAGUCACAGAUUUAACUACUUUUUUCUAUCCAAUUUAAACACUGGUAUGGUGGAAGAUUGAUAUUUUAUUUUUGAGGGAUAGGUGCAAGCAAGCCUGAGAUGUUACUCUGUUUAACUUUGCAAACUUUAGUUUAUGAUCCUACUGGGGGGGAGAAGGGAUGGAUACUCUUCCUGAAUUUUCUAGUAAAUGUGGACCAAAACAAAUUCACUCCCACCCUAUUCCAAAUUUCUCUUAACGUGUUUGCUAUGUACAUGAGUAGGGUUAGCUUCUCCUUAAGGAGCAAGCUCCAGAUGGAUGCUAUUGCUUGGAAAAGAGAUCUGCCCAAGAAUUAGCAAAGUGAAACUUGAAUAUGCCUCAACUGGAUUUAAAAAAAAAAAAUUAAAUACCCCUGAAGGAAACAUCUAGCAACCCUAUCGCCAAGCUAGAUGCAAGGCAGUCUGUUAAAUGUUAACAAACGUGUACUAGGGCUAUUUGUUUUAAAUUGCUAUUUUGGAAGGGGGAAGUGGAAGCAACAAAUAAGAGUCUGUAUUUAGCACAGAACUCUUUCUUUCUAACUUCAUCUGUUAGGAAAAGAAUAGUAUGAAGGAUUCCACAUGGGGAAGUAAGUGAAUGUAGUGGGCAGCUUAAUUAUCUUCAGCUGGGCUUUUUUUGAUACGUAAGUUGGAAAGCAAAACAACUUUUCUUUGCUAAAGCACAAAACCUCAAAUUACAGGAAUGCACAAAAGAUGAGACUUUUUGUUUUGAAGUUUUUUCCCCUAGGGGCUGUUACUGGCAACUGUAUUAAGGGUUUGCAGAAUUGGACACAACUUAAUACCCAAUUUAAUUACCCAGAGUAGCCUGUUGAUUUUAAUGGGACUGCUAGCAGACUAGUGUGCUACUUGGUGAGAUUAACCUACCAUUUUUACUGGGAUCUGGGUUGAAUCUAAUUAUUGACUGUUGGAGGAAAAGCAUCUUGCUGCAAAGAACUUCAGUGGGUCACUGAACAGCUCUUGGUAAACCAACAACAACUAGAUUAUCAGAUGGAACUGGUAAUUUACCAUACUCUUGAAAUAGCAAUUGAGACUGGUAGGUCUGUGGAUUUGAAUAGAUGCUGAGAUGUUUUACAGCAACUACUGUUCAUUAUCAGCUUUUAGAUCUUCUACUUGGAGGGUAGAACACUGUGGAUCACAAUAGAGAGAUGAGCCUAUGAGCCAUGUUUGAAUAGUGUAGAUAGGGUGUCCAGAUGUCCCGAUUUUUAUAGGGACAGUCCUGAUUUUUGGGUCCUUUCCUUAUAUAGGCUCCUAUUUACCCCCCCACCCCCGUCCUGAUUUUUCACACUUGCUGUCUGGUCACCCUAAGUGUGGAUGAUGGCCAUUACUGUAUGUGGCUGAGGCUUGGUUUUGUCAGUGUUGUGUCAAUGUGUGUAAAAGUUGUUGUUUCAAUAGGGUACUUCAUACAGAAAAACAUUCUUUUUUAAAUGAUAAAUUCUUAGUACUUGAACGAGUCUGUAAAAAUGGAAACUCAAGUUCAUAAGUUAUUGGAGGUGUAAUGGGGGGGAAAUAACACUGUAUACAAAAAUGAACAAAACUCUUUAUAUGCAGGACUUUCUGACGUUAAAGUCUAUGAGGGUAAACAGUAAAAAGCUUAGAUGGGUUUGCCCUAUAUCUAGAUGGAUACACUAGGAAGAGGAGAGGGAUAAAGAACUCAGGAAGCCUCUUCCCCUUUCUGUAGGGACAGAGUGGCUGUGGACCAAGAGCUUCUAUAUGUGUUUUCAGGGCCUGGCUAAAAUGCUCAGUUGGGCUCAGUGGCACACUUGGGGUGUGUAGUCUGCCAUCUUUGGGAUGUUAACAGGCACUAUCCCCUACUAACUCCGCAUACAUUUCCAUCAACAACUGGCAUUAUAGGGUUUGCUUACUGGCCCUUGAUCUAGUUUUCAUGAAUGUAUUACCACCUGCCUCUCACAGGUAGGCUGGCUCAGGGACCCUUUGCUUUACUGUCACUGCUUCAGUCCUUCUUACUCUUUCCCUAGAAUGCCUCACACAGUGGUAGUGCCAGAAGCAUAUAUCUUGCCUCCACCUAGAUAAACAGCAGCCUGCCUAGUACCGUCUCUUCUCUAGCUCUUUUGCCCCAGAUGAGUUCUUUUCUAUCAAGCCCACUUUACAUGUUUCCUGCGCAAUGCCCAGUGCCACGUACUCUCACACUUAUGAUCUGUGAUAAAAUUUUAACCCUGUAACAUGUAAUCUUCCCAAAGAAUUAUGACUGUAUUAGGUCUACACUUGUAAAGACAAGUAGUUUCAGCGUAUUGGCAUGUGUUUGAUCAUACUUUGGAUACUAAAAUACACAGUUUACUUAGCUCUAUCUUUAAAUUCAAAUUUUUUCAUACUAAAAGUUCAUAUUACACUAGUUCUAAAAGUUUUUCCAAUGGGGAUCAAUCUAGUCCUGUCACUAUGUAGCUUCACAGAAGUAAAACAACCUAUUGUUGGAUUAAUUAUGGUAAAGUGUUGUAGUCAUAGUUGGAAACUCAGUUGAUAAAAUGGCUGUAUUCUCUCCGUGUCUUCAUAACUGAGGCCUGGUCUACACUAUAAACUUAAGUUGAUGAAAGCCACCUUUCGUAGACUUAAUGCAUGUGUCUACACUACAGUAGAACCUCAGAGUUAUGAACUGACUGGUUAACCACAUAUCUCAUUUGGAACCAGAACUACACAUUCAGGCAGCAGCAGAGAUGCAGAGGGGAACCACUCAGUACAGUACUGAGUUUAAAUGUAAACCACACACCCAAAAAAAAAAUGUUUCUGUGCUUGUUUCAUUUGAAUUAAGAUGGUUAAAAGCAGCAUUUUUCUUCUGCAUAGUAGUUUCAAAGCUGUAUUAAGUCAAUGUUUGGUUGUAAAUUUUUGAAAGAACCAUCACAUUUUGUUUAGAGUUACAAACAACCUCCAUUCCCAAGGUGUUCGUAACUCUGAGGUUCUACUGUACCAGGUCCCUUCCACUGACCUAACUCGCCUGUAACGUCGACUUAAUUCACCUUUGUGAGAGGCAUAGCGCUUAUAUUGUGUUUGAUGGGUCAGAGAGGCAGCGUAAACGCAGUGUUGUGUAAGUUGACUGAAUUGACCUCCCAGAGGAGUCCCACAGUUCUCUGCUGUGACUGCUCUGGAGAUGGUUUUCAACUCCCUGCUCAGCAGCCCAGGUACACAGGAAACAGCCUCUCCCCUACUAAAGACCCAGGACCUUUUGAAUUCUCAUUUUUCCUGUUUGAUCAAUGUGGAGAGCUCGCCAGCACAGCUGACCAUGGAGAGUCAAAACCCCAAAUGUGCUCCAGCCUGAAGCACACAGGAGGUGGUGGAUCUUACUGGUCUGUGUAGAAAAGAGUCUGUACAGGCACAGCUCUAAUCCAGCUGAAGAAACGUAGACAUCUACAAAAAGAUUGCAUGGGACAUGAGGGAGAAGGGCUACACCAGGGACAUGUAGCAGUGCCAUGUGAAAAUCAAAGAACUUUGGCAGGCGUACCAGAAGACAAGGGAGAUGAACAGUCAUUCUGAUUCUGCCCCAGAGAUAUGCUGUUUCUACAAUGAGCUGUACGCGAUUCUCAGUGGCAACCCCACCACUACCCCCCUGCCAUAGCAUGGAUACAUCCCAGGAGUCUGAGUUCAGGGCCACCUCAGGCAAAAAUGAGGAGGACAUUCUGGAGGAGGAGGAGAAUUGGAGGCAGCCCCAGAUGGAUAUGGAAUGAACCAAAUGGACAUGCAGAUCAGGCAAAUCUAGUUGGGUCCAGGUCUCUCUUUGGUCAAGUGUUUGUUUAAGGGUCUAGCAAGAUCUUAUUAGACAGAAGACUUUAAAAGUUCUUGUAGUAGGAAUAUAGAUUUAGCAUUGUUAAUGAGAUUAAUAUAGCUUAAUUAUACUUGUAAAUUGUUAGUGUCCAUAUCUAGAAGUUCUUGUCAUAGCAAUGAUGUAUGAUAAGGUAACUUUGGUCUAGUGAAUAGAGUAUUAUAUUGUUAUAAAAACUUUGAAGUAAACCUGAUGCAAAACUCCUAGUUCUCGCUGCUGACCCUGUGUAUACCGUUUGCAUAUUAUCUUGCCUACUGCAUUUGUCUUCAAACUAAAACUCUUAUUAGAGAGUAUCUGGAUACUUCAAACUGUUUCUUGCAGUUUACAUUCCUUUACUGUGGCAUUUUGUCUUGUUACAAAGUAUUCUGUAAAAAGUUUCAAUAAAAAUGGGAGGAAAAAACCCAAA
Molecule: RNA transcript, 7531 nt
Organism: Mauremys reevesii (Reeves's turtle)
Lineage: Eukaryota; Metazoa; Chordata; Testudines; Geoemydidae
Gene name: sodium/myo-inositol cotransporter
Exons: 4
Source: RefSeq, a predicted model, not a curated record